GUAAGGAAUAUUGGUCAAUGGAAGCAACUCUGAACCAGCCAUGCCGCGUGCAGGAAGACGGCCCUCUGGGUUGUAAACUGCUUUUAUCUGGGAAUAAACCUGCUUACGUGUAAGUAGCUGAAUGUACCAGAAGAAUAAGGAUCGGCUAACUCCGUGCCAGCAGCCGCGGUAAUACGGAGGAUCCAAGCGUUAUCCGGAUUUAUUGGGUUUAAAGGGUGCGUAGGCGGCCUGUUAAGUCAGGGGUGAAAGACGGUGGCUCAACCAUCGCAGUGCCCUUGAUACUGAUGGGCUUGAAUGGACUAGAGGUAGGCGGAAUGAGACAAGUAGCGGUGAAAUGCAUAGAUAUGUCUCAGAACACCGAUUGCGAAGGCAGCUUACUAUGGUCUUAUUGACGCUGAGGCACGAAAGCGUGGGGAUCGAACAGGAUUAGAUACCCGGGUAGUCC
RNAcentral lists this ribosomal RNA (445 nucleotides) under uncultured bacterium. Its description in RNAcentral is "partial 16S ribosomal RNA". It matches the Rfam family "Bacterial small subunit ribosomal RNA", at positions 354 to 796 of the family's 1533-position model. The record is from RNAcentral.